UAAAUUUCUCAUCUUUAAUUUUUUCUUCAAAACCACCAUUUAUAUUCCAAGAUAAACACUUUAAAUUUUUAAUUAAAACUUCCGACGAUUUCUAUGAUACUUGCAUACCAUUUUCAUUCAUGACAUCAGCACCAUCAUGAUUUUGACUUUUAUGUAAAACAUUUUCUGAAUCACUAAAUUUAAUUUUUUCCUUUUUUGCGUUUGCAAUAGCAACAUCAAGUGGACCACCUGAAUAUAAAACACCUCCAAUAAACAAUUUAUCCUUAAUAAGCACUGCUUUCACAUCUGCAUCACGAGCUUUCAUGAUUUCCUCUUUUCCACAACAGAUUUUGGAUAUUGAUCAGUAAUAGAAAUGGACGAACUUUUCAACUUGUAACUCCUUUUACGAACACUGUCAC
Molecule: long non-coding RNA, 398 nt
Filed under: Mytilus galloprovincialis (Mediterranean mussel)
Lineage: Eukaryota; Metazoa; Mollusca; Bivalvia; Mytilida; Mytilidae
Source: RNAcentral